CGCACGCGCGCUACAAUGAUGCAAUCAACGAGCCUAUCCUUGACCGACAGGUCCGGGUAAUCUUUGAAACUGCAUCGUGAUGGGGAUAGAUUAUUGCAAUUAUUAAUCUUCAACGAGGAAUGCCUAGUAAGCGCGAGUCAUCAGCUCGCGUUGAUUACGUCCCUGCCCUUUGUACACACCGCCCGUCGCUCCUACCGAUUGGAUGUGCUGGUGAAGUGUUCGGAUUGGCGGCAGUGGGCGGUUCGCCGCUUGCUGCAGCCGAGAAGUUCUCUAAACCCUCCCAUCUAGAGGAAGGAGAAGUCGUAACAAGGUUUCCGUAGGUGAACCUGCGGAAGGAUCAUUG
This 343-nucleotide ribosomal RNA is filed under the name Myrmecia israelensis. RNAcentral's name for it is "SSU rRNA". It matches the Rfam family "Eukaryotic small subunit ribosomal RNA", at positions 1488 to 1831 of the family's 1831-position model. The record is from RNAcentral. Lineage: Eukaryota; Viridiplantae; Chlorophyta; Trebouxiophyceae; Trebouxiales; Trebouxiaceae.